AGUUGCAAUCAUACCAACACUAAUGCACUGGAUCUCAUCAGAACCUCGUAGUUAAGCGUGCUUAGGUGAGAGUAUUACUAGGAUGGGUGACCUUCUGGGAAGUCCUCGUGUUACACUUU
Molecule: ribosomal RNA, 119 nt
Filed under: Phaseolus vulgaris (common bean)
Lineage: Eukaryota; Viridiplantae; Streptophyta; Magnoliopsida; Fabales; Fabaceae
Source: RNAcentral